AGAGUUUGAUCAUGGCUCAGAACGAACGCUGGCGGCGUGGAUAAGACAUGCAAGUCGAGCGGGAUCUCUUUUGGUAGCAAUACCGAAGGAAGUCUAGCGGCGAACGGGUGCUUAACACGUGGGCAACCUGCCAAGAAGUGGGGGAUAGCUCGCCGAAAGGCGAAUUAAUACCGCAUGUGAUUAGAGAGGACAUCCUUUCGAAAUUAAAGUCGGGGCAACCUGACGCUUUUUGUGGGGCCCGCGGCCUAUCAGCUAGUUGGUGAGGUAACGGCCCACCAAGGCUUUGACGGGUAGCUGGUCUGAGAGGACGACCAGCCACACUGGGACUGAGACACGGCCCAGACACCUACGGGUGGCAGCAGUCGAGAAUUUUUGACAAUGGGGGAAACCCUGAUCGAGCGACGCCGCGUGGAGGAUGAAGGUCUUCGGAUUGUAAACUCCUGUCAUUGGGGAACAAGGUGCAUACGUUAACUGCGUGUGCAUUGAUAGUACCCGAAGAGGAAGAGACGGCUAACUCUGUGCCAGCAGCCGCGGUAAUACAGAGGUCUCAAGCGUUGUUCGGAUUCAUUGGGCGUAAAGGGUGCGUAGGCGGCGCGGUAAGUCGGGUGUGAAAUCUCGGGGCUUAACUCCGAAACUGCAUUCGAUACUGCCGUGCUUGAGGACUGGAGAGGAGACUGGAAUUUACGGUGUAGCGGUGAAAUGCGUAGAUAUCGUAAGGAAGACCAGUGGCGAAGGCGGGUCUCUGGACAGUUCCUGACGCUGAGGCACGAAGGUCAGGGGAGCAAACGGGAUUAGAUACCCCGGUAGUCC
Molecule: ribosomal RNA, 810 nt
Filed under: uncultured bacterium
Lineage: Bacteria
Description: bacterial SSU rRNA
Rfam family: Bacterial small subunit ribosomal RNA
Source: RNAcentral